This 257-nucleotide ribosomal RNA is filed under the name uncultured bacterium. RNAcentral describes it as "partial 16S ribosomal RNA". It matches the Rfam family "Bacterial small subunit ribosomal RNA", at positions 524 to 776 of the family's 1533-position model. The record is from RNAcentral.
UACGUAGGGGGCAAGCGUUGUCCGGAUUUAUUGGGCGUAAAGAGCGUGUAGGCGGCUAGAUAGGUCCGUUGUGAAAACUCGAGGCUCAACCUCGAGACGCCGGUGGAAACCAUCUAGCUAGAGUCCGGAAGAGGAGAGUGGAAUUCCUGGUGUAGCGGUGAAAUGACGCAGAUAUCAGGAAGAACACCCGUGGCGGAAGGCGGCUCUCUGGGACGUGACUGGACGCUGAGACGCGAAAGCGUGGGGAGCGAAACAGG